CAUUUCCACCAACAGUGAAAGAGGUUGAACCCCAUAUUCUUGAGAAAGGUGUUGAUCCUUAAUAAACAUCUUACUCAAAUACUGUAUGCAUUAGAAUUUGUUCUGUUACUACUCCAGUAACAGGGAAACAGGAAGGCCUUGUGACUCAAGUAAUAGUGCAAGGCUUCUCCUCAGACACCAAGGAAAUGAGGAUCUUUGAGACCUGAUAGGGCCAGACUUCACAUACCCUGAGCAGGAACAACUUUGAAGACCUCACAGAAGGAUCUGCAGGGGAGAUCAUGUUUGAUGGGAAAGCAUCAAUAGACACCAGCAAAUGGUCUAGAUACAGAAAGCUAACAGACUGGGGGGAGCACAGCACGCUCGCAAUCAAUUGGGAGAGUUUCCUCGUGUCAAGGACUCAUGAUGGCCAGUGGAUGACAGCAGGCAAAUGUAUGCCUUUUUGUCAGGUGCUUUGAGAAGUAGCACCCUUCCAUCGUUGGGAGUCUUCAGAAGCUUCGGGCCCUUCUGGUCAUUCUGGACAUUUUGGUUUUCGCCUGCUCUAUGGGUAGAAAUAAUUAGUAUAAAAACAACCCUCCAGUCCCAGGUCAUUUGUGAGCAUUUACCACCAGACUGGAUGAACUGAAGUUUAAAUUCCCAGGUAUACUAUUUCUUAGCAGGACUGAGCCUCAAACUUGCUUGAGAUCCAUUCCUACAAACAUAUAACUGGAAUUACAAGAUAAAAAGAUAUAUUAGAUUUGUAAAGCAUAGAAAAGAUUAGUAUUUCCUGAUUGUCUACUAUAUUCUAGGUUCUGUGCUAGGCAUUUCACAUAUGAUCUCAUUUAAUAUUUCUCUUAAAUUUAGUUUUAAAUUUUUAUUGAAAUAAUGUACAUUUUAUUAACAUCAAAAAGACUGGGUGGCAAAUAGUUGGGAGUUCACUUUAAGAAACACUUUUCCUAGGACACAAAGAAAUGGAAAAACAUUCCAUG
Long non-coding RNA from Lynx canadensis (Canada lynx), 965 nucleotides. RefSeq lists it as uncharacterized. The record is from RefSeq and is a predicted model, not a curated record. Lineage: Eukaryota; Metazoa; Chordata; Mammalia; Carnivora; Felidae. The transcript is spliced from 3 exons.